CGGACGGGUGAGGAAUACAUCGGAAUCUACUCUGUCGUGGGGGAUAACGUAGGGAAACUUACGCUAAUACCGCAUACGACCUACGGGUGAAAGCAGGGGACCUUCGGGCCUUGCGCGAUUGAAUGAGCCGAUGUCGGAUUAGCUAGUUGGCGGGGUAAAGGCCCACCAAGGCGACGAUCCGUAGCUGGUCUGAGAGGAUGAUCAGCCACACUGGAACUGAGACACGGUCCAGACUCCUACAGGAGGCAGCAGUG
Molecule: ribosomal RNA, 254 nt
Filed under: uncultured Stenotrophomonas sp.
Lineage: Bacteria; Pseudomonadati; Pseudomonadota; Gammaproteobacteria; Lysobacterales; Lysobacteraceae
Description: partial 16S ribosomal RNA
Rfam family: Bacterial small subunit ribosomal RNA
Source: RNAcentral